GCCCUCGUAGUUCAAUGGAUAGAACAAGGCACUCCUAAGGCUUAGAUGUAGGUUCGAUUCCUGCCGAGGGUACCA
This 75-nucleotide transfer RNA is filed under the name Candidatus Peregrinibacteria bacterium. RNAcentral describes it as "tRNA-Arg". It matches the Rfam family "tRNA". From Rfam's summary of the family: Transfer RNA (tRNA) molecules are approximately 80 nucleotides in length. Their secondary structure includes four short double-helical elements and three loops (D, anti-codon, and T loops). Further hydrogen bonds mediate the characteristic L-shaped molecular structure. tRNAs have two regions of fundamental functional importance: the anti-codon, which is responsible for specific mRNA codon recognition, and the 3' end, to which the tRNAs corresponding amino acid is attached (by aminoacyl-tRNA synthetases). tRNAs cope with the degeneracy of the genetic code in two manners: having more than one tRNA (with a specific anti-codon) for a particular amino acid; and 'wobble' base-pairing, i.e. permitting non-standard base-pairing at the 3rd anti-codon position. The record is from RNAcentral. Lineage: Bacteria; Candidatus Peregrinibacteriota.